CUAGCCUUCGGGUUCGCAUUGUAAUUUGUAGAGGAUGAUUUGGGGAAGCCGCCUGUCUAAGUUCCUUGGAACAGGACGUCAUAGAGGGUGAGAAUCCCGUAUGUGACAGGAAAUGGCACCCUAUGUAAAUCUCCUUCGACGAGUCGAGUUGUUUGGGAAUGCAGCUCUAAAUGGGAGGUAAAUUUCUUCUAAAGCUAAAUAUUGGCGAGAGACCGAUAGCGCACAAGUAGAGUGAUCGAAAGAUGAAAAGCACUUUGGAAAGAGAGUUAAAAAGCACGUGAAAUUGUUGAAAGGGAAGCGCUUGCAAUCAGACUUGUUUAAACUGUUCGGCCGGUCUUCUGACCGGUUUACUCAGUUUGGACAGGCCAGCAUCAGUUUCGGCGGCCGGAUAAAGGCUCUGGGAAUGUGGCCUCCACUUCGGUGGAGGUGUUAUAGCCCAGGGUGUAAUACGGCCAGCCGG
Molecule: ribosomal RNA, 460 nt
Filed under: Aureobasidium pullulans
Lineage: Eukaryota; Fungi; Ascomycota; Dothideomycetes; Dothideales; Saccotheciaceae
Description: eukaryotic LSU rRNA
Rfam family: Eukaryotic large subunit ribosomal RNA
Source: RNAcentral